AUGGAAACACCUCCGCCCCUCUCCCGCCACAAAGAAAUGUUGGGGUUAAUGCGCUGCCACUGCGGGCAGUGCCGCUCCUGGCGGUGCUUAACAGGCAUCCUCUCAUUUUAUCCCCAUUUCCUUCGGAGGAAGAGGAAUCCGAGGUUCAGAGACCAAAGUGUUUUGCCCAAGGACACAGAGCGAGUGCUGGGAGCCGGGAAAGCUUCUCCGCUCUGUCAGUCGUCAAAGCCGGCCUGGACCCGCCUUCCGUCCCCAAUUCGCGUAGCUCUGGAACCAAGGGAGCGGAGCGAGAAGCCGUGCGUACCUCCAAUGGGAGGAGGGGUCGGGCGGGGGUCGCGGCCCGGCGCGGGUGGGGGUGGGGCGGCGCGGCGUGGCUCGGUCUUGCGGCGGCGGAAGCGGCCUCCUUCGCGGGCGCGCUCCCCGCCCCCGGCCCGCCCCUCGCCAAAUAUGGCGCUUCCUCCCGGGGCCCUGCCUGGCGCUUCGUCCCGGCCUGAGGCCCAUACAAGGCGCUUCCUUCCCGCCGCGUCUGGCAGGCGGCCCGCAGGCGGCUGUGGGCGGGAGCUCGGCCCUCCGGGUCCGCCCGCGCCCGGGAGCCCGCGGCCAGGGGACUCUGCCAAGGAGGGGGCGGCGGCGGCGGCGGGGCCGGGAACGCGUGGCCUGGCCGGGCUGAGGAAACGGCAACCCCUCCCGGCAACCCCUCCCGGCCCUCGUACAGCGCCUCCAGGGACUUAAACUUGCCUCAGCCACGUGAUUACCCUGAUCUGCCUGCUGAGAGAUGAGCAAAGGUGGAGAGGGACUAGAUCUCAGCAGAGACAGCAGUUCCUGAGCGCCCACCCCCCAGCGCUUCCAGAAAUGCAAUGCAACAUGGACCAGCCUGUGAGCAUUUGCUCCUCCUCAGGUGAGGCAGGGAAAGAAAAGCUGAGAGCUUGGGAGUAAUGAGUCGAGUAAAUGCUCGGGAGGGGGCUUUUAGCACUAAGAAGCCUCUGGACUUCAUCCAGAAUAAAAUCACUCAUAGACUUCCAGUCUUUGGUUAUAGACACACACACACACACACAGUGAAUAAGGUGAAAAUAAACGGAAUUUUGUUUGUCUCCCUGGCCUCAGAUCAGCUGAGUGCCUGUGAAUUGAGUAUAUGGAGAGGAGAUGAUCUCUAAGGUCCAUGACUGAAGGUUUCUGGGUUUACAUUUUUGGAAAAAACUGGGCCUGGGCUGCACACGCAGGCACUAGGUUGCCUCUGGCCUUGUUCCCACCGAAGGCUGCAGGCCCAGAGCAACCUCUUCUUUCCAGCUAUGAUCUAGGAUUGUGGGUAAUGUAGUCCAGUGGCCAGCUUCUCUGUGGUGCUCAUUUUUGCCCUCCCCUCAUCUCCUUCCACUUGAGCGACUUAGCAGCAGCAGCAGCAGCAGCAGCAGCGUUUCCUUCCGGCUGCCAGCUACCACCCCCUUCUGCUCCAGGCUGAGGGCAGGACAAGGUGAGAAGGCGGUGCUUACUCCUUUCAGGGCUGGGAGAUCCCCAGCUGGAAACCAGCAAGCUAUUUAUAGCUGAGCCUAGCAGAGGAGGAAGGCCUGAGAGAGGCUGGGGAGCUCUGGCAGCUUCCUCUCCAGCUACAGAAUUUGCAGGAACCCCAGGCCUCUUCUGGGGAGGCCUUGUGUUCACUUCUGGGUUGACAGGGAUUUGAGCCUGGAAAAACCCUAUGGAGCAGUAGGGUUUCUGUGUUGCUCCCUGUCUUGAGAGAGACUGAUAACUCCAGUGGCCCUGGGUCCUAGCUUUUAGGCCUCUCUAUGGUGCGGAUAUUUAAUGGAACCCGAGUUCCAAAUAAGCUGAGAAUUUGUGCAUAAAAAGCCAGUGUGACACCCAAUAUGACAGUUUCCUGAGAUUUCUUUGCACUUUUCUUCUUAACCAUAUUAUUUUCCUGUGCUUACCUCCUAAUUCUCUUUUGGGACAGGAACCAAACCUUAUCUUACCAAUGGCACCAACCCUGUAUUUAUGCUAUAAAUGAGUGAUCUUGCCCAAAGAAAAGCCAACUCCCUGCAACAGUACUAGGGGUGUGACUUUUGUUCCUCCACCCACCCAAUUCUCUGCCAGUGCCCUGUGCUUUUCCUGUCAAGCAUCAAAUCUUUGUUUGACUGGGUCACUAGAUUGGAUACUCCUUGUUAACAUAGAUGAUGUCUACCUUGUUGUCUAUUACAUCGCUGUUACCUAUACAAUAAACAGUUGUUGAAUGAAUGAAUGUGAACCUAUGAUAGCUAAUUCUCUAGGUGGAGUAUUUGAUACAUGCUUCAUUGUCACAGUGUUUUACAAAUUGGAAAAGAGUUUCAGCCAUUUGCAUAUCUUUCACCAAGAUCUUGAUAAGUGGUAGAGCUGUGUUAGGAACUGGUGUGUGACUUUGGAGUAGUGCUUAACUGGCAUGAGACUGCCUGUUUGCUGGCACCCAGUAGAAACCUCUGGCUCCCCCUCGCCAAAUGGGUGAGGUGGGUUAGAUGAGAUAUGUAGGCAGACAUGGGCAAACUGGCCUGGUCCCAUGAUAGAGCUGGUGCAGCCAGCCAGAAGAGCUGCCAGGGAAUCCUAAGAAUCUUAAUGAGAAAGACUUGCUCUGAUCUGCCAGAGUGUAAGUCCUGAGGCAGUGACUGUGGGGCCAUAGAGAGGCUAGACAGACUCCGAGGUCUGAGCAUCAGUGUCUGGGGGCUCUUUAGCUGUUACCAGGGACCCCCUGACUCUUGAGUCCAGUAGAUUUUUUUUCAGUCUUCAUUUUCCUUUAGUAGUUCUCACCAGCAUUGACUUGUAAGUGACCAUCUGUGUGUUUUUUUUUUUAAUUUAUUUGACUGCAUUGUGUAUAUUAGUUGUGGCGCACAGGCUUCUCUAUAGCCCAGAGCAUGUAGGCUCUUUAUUUGCAGCAUGUGGGUUUAGUUGCCCCAUGGCAUGUGGGAUCUUAGUUCCCCAACCAGGGAUCAAGUCUGAGGCCCCUGCAUUGGAAGGCGGAUUCUUAACCCCUGAACCACCAGGAAAGUCCCUGAUUAUCUCUUCUUGAAGACUUUUCUUUCAUUGCUUACAUGUCUUGAUGUAUAAUGUUCUAUUUGGAUAUUAAAUGUUCCAGUACAAGAACUUCCCUGGUGGUCCAGUGGUUAAGAAUCUGCCUGCCAAUGCAGGGGACAUCAGAGGAUCCCACAUGGUGUGGGGCAACUGGGUCCAUGCACCAGAACUGCCAAGCCCUCAAGCCCAGAGCUUGUGCUCUGCAACAAGAGAAGCCACCACACUGGAAAGCCUGGCCACCACAACGAAGAAUAGCACCCCUGCUUGCCGCAGCUAGAAAAAGCCCCAGCACAGCAAUGAAGGCCCAGCAUAGCCCA
This 3344-nucleotide long non-coding RNA is filed under the name Bos indicus x Bos taurus (hybrid cattle). RNAcentral describes it as "lncRNA (ENSBIXG00000001711.1)". The record is from RNAcentral. Lineage: Eukaryota; Metazoa; Chordata; Mammalia; Artiodactyla; Bovidae.